This 254-nucleotide ribosomal RNA is filed under the name uncultured bacterium. Its description in RNAcentral is "partial 16S ribosomal RNA". It matches the Rfam family "Bacterial small subunit ribosomal RNA", at positions 524 to 776 of the family's 1533-position model. The record is from RNAcentral.
UACGGAGGAUCCAAGCGUUAUCCGGAAUUACUGGGCGUAAAGAGUUGCGUAGGUGGCAUGGUAAGUUGCUAGUGAAAUCCUGGGGCUCAACCCCUUACCCAUUAGCAAAACUGCCAAGCUAGAGGACGAGAGAGGUACCUGGAAUUCCUAGUGUAGGAGUGAAAUCCGUAGAUAUUAGGAGGAACACCGAUGGCGUAGGCAGGGUACUGGCUCGUUCCUGACACUAAGGCACGAAAGCAUGGGUAGCAAACGGG